GGUUAAGCGACUAAGCGUACACGGUGGAUGCCCUGGCAGUCAGAGGCGAUGAAGGGCGUGCUAAUCUGCGAUAAGCGCCGGUAAGGUGAUAUGAACCGUUAUAACCGGCGAUACCCGAAUGGGGAAACCCAGUGUGAUUCGUCACACUAUCAUUAACUGAAUCCAUAGGUUAAUGAGGCGAACCGGGGGAACUGAAACAUCUAAGUACCCCGAGGAAAAGAAAUCAACCGAGAUUCCCCCAGUAGCGGCGAGCGAACGGGGAGGAGCCCAGAGCCUGAAUCAGCAUGUGUGUUAGUGGAAGCGUCUGGAAAGGCGCGCGAUACAGGGUGACAGCCCCGUACACAAAAGCGCAUGUGCUGUGAGCUCGAUGAGUAGGGCGGGACACGUGGUAUCCUGUCUGAAUAUGGGGGGACCAUCCUCCAAGGCUAAAUACUCCUGACUGACCGAUAGUGAACCAGUACCGUGAGGGAAAGGCGAAAAGAACCCCGGCGAGGGGAGUGAAAAAGAACCUGAAACCGUGUACGUACAAGCAGUGGGAGCACCCUUUGGGUGUGACUGCGUACCUUUUGUAUAAUGGGUCAGCGACUUAUAUUCUGUAGCAAGGUUAACCGAAUAGGGGAGCCGGAGGGAAACCGAGUCUUAAUUGGGCGUUAAGUUGCAGGGUAUAGACCCGAAACCCGGUGAUCUAGCCAUGGGCAGGUUGAAGGUUGGGUAACACUAACUGGAGGACCGAACCGACUAAUGUUGAAAAAUUAGCGGAUGACCUGUGGCUGGGGGUGAAAGGCCAAUCAAACCGGGAGAUAGCUGGUUCUCCCCGAAAGCUAUUUAGGUAGCGCCUCGUGAAUUCAUCUCCGGGGGUAGAGCACUGUUUCGGCUAGGGGGCCAUCCCGGCUUACCAACCCGAUGCAAACUGCGAAUACCGGAGAAUGUUAUCACGGGAGACACACGGCGGGUGCUAACGUCCGUCGUGAAGAGGGAAACAACCCAGACCGCCAGCUAAGGUCCCAAAGUCAUGGUUAAGUGGGAAACGAUGUGGGAAGGCCCAGACAGCCAGGAUGUUGGCUUAGAAGCAGCCAUCAUUUAAAGAAAGCGUAAUAGCUCACUGGUCGAGUCGGCCUGCGCGGAAGAUGUAACGGGGCUAAACCAUGCACCGAAGCUGCGGCAGCGACACUGUGUGUUGUUGGGUAGGGGAGCGUUCUGUAAGCCUG
Molecule: ribosomal RNA, 1208 nt
Filed under: Salmonella enterica subsp. enterica serovar Enteritidis
Lineage: Bacteria; Pseudomonadati; Pseudomonadota; Gammaproteobacteria; Enterobacterales; Enterobacteriaceae
Description: partial 23S ribosomal RNA
Rfam family: Bacterial large subunit ribosomal RNA
Source: RNAcentral